AACGGAGUACUUCGGUACUUAGUGACGGACGGGUGAGUAACGCGUGAGGAUCUGCCCUCAGGAGGGGGACAACGACUGGAAACGGUCGCUAAUACCCCAUAUGCCGAGAGGUGAAAUGUUUUUUCGCCUGAGGAUGAGCUCGCGUCAGAUUAGCUAGUUGGUGGGGUAACGGCCUACCAAGGCGACGAUCUGUAGCUGGUCUGAGAGGAUGAUCAGCCACACUGGGACUGAGACACGGCCCAGACUCCUACGGGAGGCAGCAGUGGGGAAUUUUCCGCAAUGGGCGAAAGCCUGACGGAGCAAGACCGCGUGAGGGAUGACGGCCUAAUGGUUGUAAACCUCUUUUCUCUGGGAAGAUAAUGACGGUACCAGAGGAAUAAGCCUCGGCUAACUCCGUGCCAGCAGCCGCGGUAAUACGGAGGAGGCAAGCGUUAUCCGGAAUUAUUGGGCGUAAAGCGUCCGUAGGUGGUUAAUCAAGUCAGCUGUUAAAGAGCGGAGCUUAACUCCGUUAGAGCGGUUGAAACUGAUUGACUAGAGUUUGGUAGGGGUCGAGGGAAUUCCCAGUGUAGCGGUGAAAUGCGUAGAUAUUGGGAAGAACACCGGUGGCGAAAGCGCUCGACUGGGCCUGAACUGACACUGAGGGACGAAAGCUAGGGGAGCGAAAGGGAUUAGAUACCCCUGUAGUCCUAGCCGUAAACGAUGGAUACUAGGUGUUGCUCGUUAUCGACCCGAGCCGUGCCGAAGC
RNAcentral lists this ribosomal RNA (745 nucleotides) under cyanobacterium enrichment culture clone 2_16_2.1.2_E07-T7. Its description in RNAcentral is "bacterial SSU rRNA". It matches the Rfam family "Bacterial small subunit ribosomal RNA", at positions 65 to 852 of the family's 1533-position model. Lineage: Bacteria; Bacillati; Cyanobacteriota. The record is from RNAcentral.